AUUGAACGCUGGCGGCAGGCCUAACACAUGCAAGUCGGGCGAGCGGAGGACGGGUGAGUAAUGUAUGGGGAUCUGCCUGAUGGAGGGGGAUAACUACUGGAAAAGGUAGCUAAUACCGCAUAACAUCAGAUGAACCCAUACGGGAUUCGCUUGGAGGUGGGGUAAAUGCUCACCUAGGCGACGAUCCCUAGCAGGUCUGAGAGGAUGAUCAGCCACCCGGGGACUGAGCCACGGCCCAGACGCCUACGCGAGGCAGCAGUGGGGAAUAGUGCCCAAUGGUCUCAAGCCUGAUGCAGCCAUGCCGCGUGUGUGAAGAAGGCCUUCGGGUUGUAAAGUACUUUCCGUCGCGAGGCGUUACCGACAGAAGAAGCACCGGCUAACUCCGUGCCAGCAGCCGCGGUAAUUC
Molecule: ribosomal RNA, 406 nt
Filed under: uncultured bacterium
Lineage: Bacteria
Description: partial 16S ribosomal RNA
Rfam family: Bacterial small subunit ribosomal RNA
Source: RNAcentral